GAUGAACGCUGGCGGCGUGCCUAAUACAUGCAAGUCGAGCGAACAGACGAGGAGCUUGCUCCUCUGACGUUAGCGGCGGACGGGUGAGUAACACGUGGAUAACCUACCUAUAAGACUGGGAUAACUUCGGGAAACCGGAGCUAAUACCGGAUAAUAUAUUGAACCGCAUGGUUCAAUAGUGAAAGACGGUUUUGCUGUCACUUAUAGAUGGAUCCGCGCCGCAUUAGCUAGUUGGUAAGGUAACGGCUUACCAAGGCAACGAUGCGUAGCCGACCUGAGAGGGUGAUCGGCCACACUGGAACUGAGACACGGUCCAGACUCCUACGGGAGGCAGCAGUAGGGAAUCUUCCGCAAUGGGCGAAAGCUUGACGGAGCAACGCCGCGUGAGUGAUGAAGGUCGUCGGAUCGUAAAACUCUGUUAUUAGGGAAGAACAAAUGUGUAAGUAACUAUGCACGUCUUGACGGUACCUAAUCAGAAAGCCACGGCUAACUACG
Molecule: ribosomal RNA, 495 nt
Filed under: uncultured bacterium
Lineage: Bacteria
Description: partial 16S ribosomal RNA
Rfam family: Bacterial small subunit ribosomal RNA
Source: RNAcentral